ACAGAGCCUAUGCCUCUUCUUGACAACUGUACUCUGAUCACAAUGAUGUGAUAUCAUACCACAUCCAGCAAAUGAAAUAAAAGAUGAGGGAAUUCAUUUUUCAUAUUUCAACUAGUCUGUUUUUUAUUGAUUCUUUUGUAGAAACUGAUGGUUUUAGCACUGUUUUUAGUUGGUGACUACAGAACGGCAAACACAAGUUGCAGAUAGAUUUCUGACUGGCAGGAAACUGGAUGUUGAAGAGUGCUAAUUCUUAUGUGACAUAGUUUGAUGCUCCAUAACAACUCACUUUGUUUAUUUUAGGAGUUGUCUCUUUACUUGAACUAUGAACCAAUGCUUAAGGGAGACAGAAAUACGUUGUUUCUAGAGUUUUGUUUUGUUUUUUAUUUGGAUUUUGUUCUUUUGAGCUUCUGAGCUGUUAGUGCAAAGCAAAGCUUACUGAUGUGAUCUUUAUACUGUAACAUUGCACUGGAUGCAAUCUGAUGGAACCUAAAAAUGUUUCAGUCAUUCUGAAAUCACUUCAGAUUUGUUGCAAUUUAAUGAAAAUAUAAACUCCUUCUAAUAACAGAAAACACUGGCGUACAUUCUGCUUAACUUGAAGUUUAAUACAUAAAAAAAAUGUACUGAAAUGUUCAGGUUGCGUCAGAUUUCAGUCCAAAACUGUGAUGGGAUGGUCCCAAAUACGAGCUGGAGGCGUGUAAAGGCUCUGAACUGAGUGAUAUGACAGAAUGACCUCCAAUAAGUGUUACACUUGCUUUUCCACUCAUCACGUUGAAAAAGAAAAUGCUGGUACUAAUGUGGUUACUUUCAUGAUGCAACAUUGCAUAUUUGUUUGUCUUUUUCUUCCCAGAUGUCAGACAUAUUGAAACUGCUUUCCAGAGGGUCAGCAUUAUAUAAAUCCUUGUAAUGUGAAUUCACCAAAAUAGGAGUGAAAAGUGAAGUUAAGGUUGAUAAUGCACCCCUGAUUCUGCGGCCAGCCACUCUUCUGACCUGAUUUUCUUCCAAGCAUCAAAAGCCUUUUAUUGCAAAUCCUUUUUUUUAUUUUGAGGAAAAACAAGUAAACACAAUGUUAAUUACUAAAUGUUAUCAAAAUAUCAACAGUGUUAGCAGUUAAGAAAUAUCAGCUUAUGAUUGAUGAUAAGUGUCAAAAUUACAGCUUAACAGUUUCUUUGUUUUAAUGUUCAUUUUAUCAGAAUGGUUCAUGUUUUCUUGUAGUGUGAAACCACUGAAUUCUGUCUUUGCUGGAAUGCUGAUGCUUAAUAUUAAGCAGGCAAAAUGAAUUCAUUGUGUCAUUCGUCAUUUCUUUGAUUUCUUUUCUAACUCUUGUUGUUGUUGCUCUCUCUGCUAUCGACAAAUUAUUCAGCGCUGUUUUUAUAAAAAAUGCAUACAGUGCGUGUACGGUCUCUGUAGUAUCAUGUCUGGUAUAUGUGUCCUAACAGCAUAAACAAACGAACCAGUGAAUUAUAGAGGAAAACAUUUGGAACAACGGGUAGAGAACAGAGGUUUACCUAGAAAAGUGAGGAUCUCUAUGGUCUCUAUAUGGUCUGUACUGUUUACUAGAAUAAACAUUUCCAUUAAUGAAUGCAUGUUUGACUUGUCAACAGUUUUGUAUGACUAUUUGUAAAGCUUAAUAUAAUAUUACACGUUUAGAAAUCUUAAAUUCUUAAUUACAUAUUUAGGGAAAAAGUGCCAAAUGUAAUUUAUUAAAUCCC
Long non-coding RNA from Astatotilapia calliptera (eastern happy), 1709 nucleotides. The record is from Ensembl. NCBI's taxonomy places the organism in Eukaryota, Metazoa, Chordata, Actinopteri, Cichliformes, Cichlidae.